GAUGAAGAACGCAGCGAAAUGCGAUAAGUAAUGUGAAUUGCAGAAUUCAGUGAAUCAUCGAAUCUUUGAACGCACAUUGCGCCCGCCAGUAUUCUGGCGGGCAUGCCUGUUCGAGCGUCAUUUCAACCAUCAAGCCCUGCUUGCGUUGGGGUCCUGCGGCUGCCCGCAGGCCCUGAAAACCAGUGGCGGGCUCGCUGUCACCCCGAGCGUAGUAGCAACACCUCGCCCAGGGAGUGCCGCGGGCACCGGCCGUAAAACCUCGCCCCCGCGCGAGAAACACCCCAAAGGUUGACCUCGGAUCAGGUAGGAAGACCCGCUGAACUUAAGCAUAUCAAUAAGCGGAGA
This 345-nucleotide unclassified non-coding RNA is filed under the name soil metagenome. Its description in RNAcentral is "partial contains 5.8S ribosomal RNA, internal transcribed spacer 2, and large subunit ribosomal RNA". The stretch from base 1 to 120 matches the Rfam family "5.8S ribosomal RNA", at positions 35 to 154 of the family's 154-position model. The record is from RNAcentral.